Molecule: ribosomal RNA, 118 nt
Filed under: Xenopus tropicalis (tropical clawed frog)
Lineage: Eukaryota; Metazoa; Chordata; Amphibia; Anura; Pipidae
Source: RNAcentral
GCCUACGGCCAUACCACCCUGAAAGCGCCCGACUCGUCUGAUCUCGGAACUAAGCAGGGACGGGCUUGGUUAGUACCUGGAUGGGAGACCGCCUGGGAAUACCAGGUGUUUGUAGGCU